This 2172-nucleotide unclassified non-coding RNA is filed under the name Drosophila yakuba. RNAcentral's name for it is "GE26287". The record is from RNAcentral. Lineage: Eukaryota; Metazoa; Arthropoda; Insecta; Diptera; Drosophilidae.
GCCACAGGCGACUGCCCGUCGACUCCCAUCCGCCGGAGUGGGGCCGCCACCUGCGAUAUGUGAUCAUUGGGGCUCCGCGGAGGUUUAUGCAAUGUUCUAGCUCUCGGCGAGUCGGAGGAGAAGCAGCCGGAGGAGGAGAAGGAGGAGCAACGGGCCAGAUGACUGUGACCACCACCAUGGAGGCACAGGUCAAGGCAGCGCACCAUCAUCAUAUACACCAUCCUACGGGCGGAGGAGCCCAGCACAAGGUGGAGGUCGAGGAACCGGAUCCCGUUGAGGACGAGAUGACCGUACUUCUAGCCAAUAAGAACUUUCACUAUGACGUCGCCUCCGAGCUGGACGACGACGCCUUUGUGGAGCUCAAGGAGGACACCGCCCAAGCGGAUGGCGCAGGUGGUGUUGGCUUCUACAAUCCGGAUGAACUGCUGCUCGAGGAGCAGCCACAUCCGCAAGUCACGUGGCUGGACGACGACGAGAUCGAGACGCUCGAUCGCGUCACGCUGGACAUGGGUAACAUGUUCUUCAAUCGCGUCGACAGCCAGGACAUCAUCUAUCAGCAGAAAAAGAAGAGCAUUAAGAUGGUGGGCAAGUACAUUAUGGGCGAUGUCCUCGGCGAGGGAUCGUACGGCAAGGUGAAGGAGGCCAUGAACUCGGAGAACCUGUGUCGGCUGGCCGUCAAGAUCCUGACCAAGCGGAAGUUGCGCAGGAUUCCCAACGGCGAACAAAACGUGACGCGCGAGAUCGCUUUGCUUAAGCAGCUGAAGCACCGACAUGUCGUGGAGCUGGUGGACGUUUUGUACAAUGAUGAGAAGCAGAAGAUGUACUUGGUUAUGGAGUACUGUGUCGGCGGGCUGCAGGAGAUGGUUGACUACCAGCCGGACAAGCGGAUGCCCCUGUUUCAGGCACACGGUUACUUUAAACAGCUAGUCGACGGCCUGGAGUACCUGCACAGCUGCCGGGUCAUCCACAAGGACAUCAAGCCGGGCAACCUGCUGCUCUCCCUGGAUCAAACGCUGAAGAUAUCCGACUUUGGUGUGGCGGAGCAACUGGAUCUGUUCUCACCUGACGACACGUGCACAACGGGCCAAGGUUCUCCGGCCUUUCAGCCACCGGAGAUCGCCAACGGACACGAGACCUUCGCCGGCUUCAAGGUGGACAUCUGGAGCAGCGGAGUGACUCUCUACAAUUUGGCUACAGGACAGUAUCCCUUCGAGGGCGACAAUAUCUACCGAUUGCUGGAGAACAUUGGGCGAGGUCAGUGGGAGGCGCCCACGUGGCUCUUCGAAAUGGACGCCGACUUUGCCAACCUGAUCCUCGGCAUGCUUCAGGCUGAUCCCAGCAAACGUCUCUCCCUACAGGAAAUACGCCACGACACUUGGUUUAGAUCCGCCCCGGUGAAGACCGGCCCACCGAUACCCAUUCCCCCCCUGAAGGGCGACAAAUACCGCAACUCCACGGUGAUACCUUAUUUGGAAGCUUACCACUACGGCACCCAGGAGGAGGACGUCUACUUUACAGAGCACGACGUAAACCAGGAGCUCGCCCGCCAAGCGGCAGCUGCUGCCUCCGAAAUUCGGGCCAAGCAGUCGGCGGCGGCCCUAGCCGCCUGCCACGCCUACGAGCCGCCCUCCACAAGUGCCGCCGCAGCCGCCGCCUCCGGCAAUUCGCUGGGCAACGGUAGCAGGGAAGAGGCGCCAGUUAAGAAGAAAGGUUCGGCGCUAAAGAGGCGCGCCAAGAAGCUGACGUCCUGCAUCUCCGUGCGCAAACUGAGCCACUGCCGAACUUCAUAGGCGCAUUAGAUGCCUCCACUAAACAUAGAUGCUAAGAUUUAUCGAAAGGAAUAACUUUGUUAACAAAUUAAUCAUGUAGGAAAUUCAGGAGAAACCUGGUACCGCCCGAGCAGCACCAGCAGCAGUAGCAGCAGCGGCAGCAUGAGCAGCAGCCGCAAGUGUCAGCGGACACUUUAAGUUAGCUGAUGCGAAUUGGGGAGUUGGUGAGGAGCAAUGGGGCGACACGAAAGCUAUAUAUCCAUGUGACAAUACUGUGUAUUAUAUGAAACAAAUGAAAGCGUAAAUUAGUCGUUAAUAUAUGAUGUACUGAAGGCAGCCGAGGAUUGCCGGAGGAGACGGUGCCCAUUGGUUCGCACACAUAAAGAAACAUGUUCAAGUGAAA